This 253-nucleotide ribosomal RNA is filed under the name uncultured bacterium. Its description in RNAcentral is "partial 16S ribosomal RNA". It matches the Rfam family "Bacterial small subunit ribosomal RNA", at positions 524 to 776 of the family's 1533-position model. The record is from RNAcentral.
UACGUAGGGGGCUAGCGUUGUCCGGAAUCAUUGGGCGUAAAGAGCGUGUAGGCGGCCCGGUAAGUCCGCUGUGAAAGUCGGGGGCUCAACCCUCGAAUGCCGGUGGAUACUGUCGGGCUAGAGUGCGGAAGAGGCGAGUGGAAUUCCUGGCGUAGCGGUGAAAUGCGCAGAUAUCAGGAGGAACACCAAUUGCGAAGGCAGCUCGCUGGGACGUAACUGACGCUGAGAUGCGAAAGCGUGGGGAGCAAACAGG